GACAGAGGGUGCAAACGUUAUUCGGAAUUACUGGGCGUAAAGCGCGUGUAGGCGGCACGGCAAGUCGGAUGUGAAAGCCCGCGGCUCAACCGUGGAAGUGCACUCGAAACUGCCGAGCUAGAGUCUCGGAGAGGAAGGUGGAAUGCUUGGUGUAGAGGUGAAAUUCGUAGAUAUCAAGCAGAACACCUGUGGCGAAGGCGGCCUUCUGGACGAUGACUGACGCUGAGACGCGAAAGCGUGGGGAGCAAACAGG
RNAcentral lists this ribosomal RNA (253 nucleotides) under uncultured bacterium. RNAcentral's name for it is "partial 16S ribosomal RNA". It matches the Rfam family "Bacterial small subunit ribosomal RNA", at positions 524 to 776 of the family's 1533-position model. The record is from RNAcentral.